Molecule: non-coding RNA, 69 nt
Filed under: marine sediment metagenome
Also listed under: 1 other name
Description: c-di-GMP-I riboswitch aptamer
Rfam family: c-di-GMP-I-GGC riboswitch aptamer
Source: RNAcentral
AGAUAAAGCCAAACCUGUCGCGAGGCAGGGGCGGAAAACCACGGGUCUUUAAAAGAUAGCCGGGUUGCC